GAACUCGCGCAACUCAUCUACUCUCUCAUUUCUCCUCUGCUCAUCGGCCCUAGCGAAACUGCGUUCCCCUCUCAGUUUCUUCUGAGUUAGAAGCGGCAUUGCUCGAUUGUUCGUGAGGGAAAGAGGCUGAACCAAGAUUAGCAGGGAACCCUCGAAAUUUCUCCCUAUCUUUAUCCUCUGCACGUCAGCUUUGGCUCUGAAACUGAUUUCCCCUCUCAGUUUCUUCCGAGUUAGGAGCAGCAUCGCAACCGUUAGUGUGGGAAACAGGCCGAACCAAAAUUAGCAGGGAAGCGUAGAAAACAUUGCUGGCCAAGAGGAUGCGUACCAAGACGUUGCCUACCAAGGCGCUACCUAAAGAACCGAAGGAAAUAUUGGCGACCAAGAGGAUGCCUACCAAGAGACCGUUUGAAGAACCAAAGGUGAAUGUGGGUGAAUAUUCUACUCUACCAGCUAAGAAACUGAGAACACAUUUCAGCCCCAAUUCAUCUUAAGCUUAUGCUGAUGGAUGAUGUAUUAAACUUCGAGAUUCCGACUACAAAAAAACAUAAAAAGAACAAAAUGAUCUGCAGCGUUGGAGGAGGAUUGGCUUGGGGAAACUAGUUAACGGUCUCUAUCAUGUGAUGUCGCCUUCUAUUUCAGCUCCAAAGUCUCUCAUUGCUGCCUAUUCUUCUUUUGAGGUUUGGCAUAAAAGGCUUGGUCAUCCAUUUGAUUCCACACUAUUAUUACUUUGUGAUUUGCUUUCUUUUUCUUCUUUUAAGUCUGCCAAUAAUUGUCCUUGUAAUAUUUGUCCCAUGGCUAAGCAACAUUGCUUGCCAUUUCCUUCAAGCACUCCGAUGACUACUUUUAAUUUUCAGCUUGUUCAUGCUGAUAUUUGGGACCCUUUCUUGUGGCUUCCUUACAAGGAUUUUGUUAUUUUCUUUCCAUUGUAGAUGAUUUCUCUCGAUAUACAUGGAUAUUUCUAAUGCAAAAUAAAAGUGAGACACGUAUGCAUCUUUAUAA
Malania oleifera is the source of this 999-nucleotide long non-coding RNA. RefSeq lists it as uncharacterized. The transcript is spliced from 6 exons. The record is from RefSeq and is a predicted model, not a curated record. Lineage: Eukaryota; Viridiplantae; Streptophyta; Magnoliopsida; Santalales; Ximeniaceae.